AGCGGCGGACGGGCGAGUAACGCGUGAGAAUCUGGCUUCAGGAGGGGGACAACAGUUGGAAACGACUGCUAAUACCCCAUAUGUCUACGGAUGAAACGGUGAAUUCCGCCUGAAGAUGAGCUCGCGUCGGAUUAGCUAGUUGGUGAGGUAAAGGCUCACCAAGGCGACGAUCCGUAGCUGGUCUGAGAGGAUGAUCAGCCACACUGGGACUGAGACACGGCCCAGACUCCUACGGGAGGCAGCAGUGGGGAAUUUUCCGCAAUGGGCGAAAGCCUGACGGGGCAACGCCGCGUGCGGGAAGACGGCCUGUGGGUUGUAAACCGCUUUUCUCUGGGAAGAAUAAGUUGACGGUACCAGAGGAAUCAGCAUCGGCUAACUCCGUGCCAGCAGCCGCGGUAAUACGGAGGAUGCAAGCGUUAUCCGGAAUUAUUGGGCGUAAAGCGUCCGCAGGCGGCUUAUCAAGUCUGCUGUUAAAGGUCGGGGCUCAACUCCGGUUAGGCAGUGGAAACUGAUAGGCUAGAGUGUGGUAGGGGUAGAGGGAAUUCCCAGUGUAGCGGUGAAAUGCGUAGAUAUUGGGAAGAACACCAGUGGCGAAGGCGCUCUACUGGGCCACAACUGACGCUGAGGGACGAAAGCUAGGGGAGCGAAAGGGAUUAGAUACCCCUGUAGUCCUAGCUGUAAACGAUGGACACUAGGUGUUG
Molecule: ribosomal RNA, 701 nt
Filed under: uncultured Oscillatoriales cyanobacterium
Lineage: Bacteria; Bacillati; Cyanobacteriota; Cyanophyceae; Oscillatoriales
Description: bacterial SSU rRNA
Rfam family: Bacterial small subunit ribosomal RNA
Source: RNAcentral